UGUUAAAAAUUUCGUCCAAUUUUAUUGUUAAAAACUGAUGUGAUUAACAAAAUAAUCAAACAAUGACAUGUAACAUGUCAUGUGUACCUCAUGUAGACAUAUAAAGAUCAAUUUUUAACAACAAAAAUGGAUAGAAUUUUCAACA
Molecule: non-coding RNA, 145 nt
Organism: Gossypium raimondii (Peruvian cotton)
Lineage: Eukaryota; Viridiplantae; Streptophyta; Magnoliopsida; Malvales; Malvaceae
Source: Rfam